CCCGUACAAGCUUCAAAUUCGGUCCCGUGCUCUAUAUUCUUUACGCGCCAGCGCUUCUGCUCUCCGCUCUGGUCUCCCAAAUUUGAACGCUACAACAGAAUCUUCAAGCACGCAUGACUUCCCAGCUCUCAAGACUAUAAUCACUCCAAAAAAACCUUCACAGCGCCCAAUUUCCUCAUUUACAAACUCAAUCACCGUCGCAGUCGCCGUCCGGCAGCCGUUGCUCCCGCCGGGUUUCGUGUCAGAGAAUGUCGUCCUUGUCUGCUACUGCGGCACCGACUCUCCGGACAGUGACUAUACCUUACUCUGACCUCAAAGACAAAGAUGCCGAUUUGUCAAUGAAGAUUGAAGAGGGGUUUGGGCCGAAUGGAUUGGGAAUACUAUCAGUUACAGAUGUUCCGGGGUUUUCUUCAUUGCGUCAAAAUCUUCUACGUCUUUCACCAAGUCUAGCUAGUCUGCCUGAAGAGGUGAAAAAGGAACUUGAGGAUCCUAAUAGCAGGUACAACUUUGGAUGGAGUCAUGGAAAGGAGAAGCUUGAAUCUGGGAGGCCUGAUAUGCUGAAAGGCUCUUUUUAUGCAAAUCCAACAUUGGAUGUACCUACAAAUGAUGUAUCACUUAUUAAACGGUAUCCAUCAUAUUGUGGACCAAAUAUUUGGCCUCGUGAAGCUUUGCCAGAACUUGAAGUGGUUUUUAAAGCUCUUGGAAAACUUAUCCUGGAUGUGGGGUUGAUGGUGGCAUAUCAUUGUGAUCAAUAUGUUUACAAGGGAAUGAAAUUGCAUGAAAAUGAAAGCCUUGAAGAGACACUGCGUCGCUCUCGGUGUCAUAAAGGUCGUCUACUUUACUAUUUUCCAGCACAACAGAGUAAUUGUAUCCAUGAUGGCGACAGCAUGUCAUCUUGGUGUGGAUGGCAUACGGACCAUGGUUCCUUGACAGGUCUUACCUGUGGCAUGUUUGUGAGAGACAAUGUAGAAAUACCUUGCCCUGAUAGUGCUGCUGGUCUUUACAUCAGGACACGAACUGGCCAAAUUGUCCAAGUUGUCUAUGGAGAAGAUGAAAUAGCUUACCAAGUUGGUGAAACCACUGAAAUACUGUCAAGAGGUUAUCUCUGUGCUACACCGCAUUGUGUCAGGGCUCCUAAGGGAGAGGAAGCUUUUGGUCUUGAGCGUUCAACAUUUGCAUUAUUCAUGCAGCCUGACUGGGAUGAAAAGCUCAAGUUUCCCAAGGAGGUGCAUAUUCAUCAAGAGUUGAUUACAUCAAAUGGCACUCUUACUUUUGGAGAGUAUUCAGAGAAGCUGCUGGACAAAUAUUAUCACCUGAAAGCGUGAAGAGCUUUUGUUUCUGAGCAUUACUUAGUAAUUAAUAAACUCCUGCAAUGCUAGGGUUUUGUUGAAGCUCUACAUUCAUUUUUGCUGCAGACAUGAAUCAUAAAAGCUAAUCGGGUAUGAAGAGUGGAAGAGAUUUUUUGUAUAUUUCUCUGAUGCUCUGAGCUGGUGCCGAUCUUGAUGUUGAUGUUGAUGUUGAUGUUGCUUGUGGAACUUUAGCUAUAUUUAAACAUAAAGGAUAUCGAGUUUAGAUCUCCCCCGUCUGCAACUGGUUUUGGUACACCAUUUUACUUUUAAUCAAACUCUUCGCUUCGAAGCAACCAGUGCAUGCGUUGUCCAGUGUAAAAUGGUUGUCCCAGGGAGCUGCUGUUUAUGGUGUGUUGAGGAAAACAUAAUCCCGAUCAACUCUUGACCGAGCAUAUGCGAUUCUCACUCAUAUUUAGAUUACUAUAGUUGAAGCAAUUGCCGAUAUGACUUGUCCUCCUCCCCCACCCCAAUCUCCUAUCUCAAGCCCUUCUCCAUCCUACCACAAUGUUUCAACAUAAACGCAUGCCUACUAUUGAGCUCUCACCUAUGGCAUUGUCCGCCUUUUCAAUGGUAAUCUAAUUGGAAGUUUGGACAGGCCCUGCUUGGUUCAAAUUCUAGCUGUGAGAUCGUCCUCAUACUUCCAUUUUCCCUGUGCAUGAACUUCUGUUUUCCUCGAUUGUGAUUACUGUAAAAGCAUCUUUCUUAAGUGAAAAGUAUUCGAUUGCAUUGUCGAUUGCUACA
Malania oleifera is the source of this 2090-nucleotide RNA transcript. RefSeq lists it as uncharacterized. The transcript is spliced from 17 exons. The record is from RefSeq and is a predicted model, not a curated record. NCBI's taxonomy places the organism in Eukaryota, Viridiplantae, Streptophyta, Magnoliopsida, Santalales, Ximeniaceae.